CUCAGCUGCUGAGAUGAAUAACCAAAAAGAAAACCUCUCAGAACCAAAUCUGGUUAAGAACUCAAGAAGACAACAGUCGAAAGAGAAGCUCCUUGCUGUGAUUUUGGGAAUCACAUGUCUUGUCUUGAUAUACGUUGUAGCAAGAAUGAUAAGUUCUCUUCCCUGUAGUGGAACACUACAGCAGAACAAUUCAUACCCAGUUACAAG
Molecule: long non-coding RNA, 207 nt
Organism: Lontra canadensis (Northern American river otter)
Lineage: Eukaryota; Metazoa; Chordata; Mammalia; Carnivora; Mustelidae
Exons: 3
Source: RefSeq, a predicted model, not a curated record